Molecule: long non-coding RNA, 863 nt
Organism: Hirundo rustica (Barn swallow)
Lineage: Eukaryota; Metazoa; Chordata; Aves; Passeriformes; Hirundinidae
Exons: 4
Source: RefSeq, a predicted model, not a curated record
AGUGAGGAGUAGUGACCAUGAGCAGAAACACCUGGCAAUUGCCAUUGCAAGGUUUCUCUGGAGCCAUAUUAGAGACAUAAACAAUUAAAGCUAGUUUCAUUAGAUUUUACUGUUCAGAAAAUAAUUGUAUGGGAAAAAGAAUUGGAGUAAGAAGAGGCAAAUAAUAAAAAUGAUACUAUUUGCACUUUCCAGGUGUUGGUUAAACCAUUAGAAGUUUUAAGAAAAGGAUACUUCAAGUCAUUGACUGCAAGAAAUUGACUAAGGGACCUGUCAUAAAACAACAUCCAGUUUCAAGGAAAAGAGGAAAAAAACCCCAAAUCUGUGUAAAAGGGCCAUUGUCAUGGGCAGAGCAAACAGUGAGAGAUCAAUCCUGGACUUAGGAGGACGGAAACACUUUCAUUUCAGGUUGGGCCACCUCUGAUUUGCUCCACCUCAGGUUUGUGAUGAAGCAAUCCAGAACAGUUUCGUUUCUGCCACCUGCUGAAGCCUCAGUAUUAUAGAGUCAGCAUUUGCAGGAAGAGAUCCUGCCUGCCUUAUACUCAUAGACUAUCAUGGCUUCAGAAGAGAUCUUACAAGCAUUUGUGGGCCACUGCUGGCAGGGAUGGGUGAGUUCCAGCAAUGCUGUUCCCUGCCAGGCCACCCUCUCAUUUCCCAGCCAAAAAUAAAAAGAUGUGCUCCCUGGAAGAGUACUCUGAAGGGAGGCCAGCCAUCAUGUUCACCACAAUUAAAGAGCAGGCUUCUAAAAAGUAUGCUCUGGGAUUGUAAAAGAACAACCUUGCUACUUCUGUGUCUCUAGUUCAAAGACGCCAAUCCAGCCUCCCUUUGCUGGAAUAAGGCUGAUUUAGACCACAAGAUACAGAUGG